UGGGAAUCUUCCGCAAUGGACGAAAGUCUGACGGAGCAACGCCGCGUGUAUGACGAAGGCCUUCGGGUUGUAAAGCACUUUUGUCCGGAAAGAAAUCCUUGGCUCUAAUACAGUCGGGGAUGACGGUACCGGAAGAAUAAGCACCGGCUAACUACGUGCCAGCAGCCGCGGUAAUACGUAGGGUGCAAGCGUUAAUCGGAAUUACUGGGCGUAAAGCGUGCGCAGGCGGUUUGCUAAGACCGAUGUGAAAUCCCCGGGCUCAACCUGGGAACUGCAUUGGUGACUGGCAGGCUAGAGUAUGGCAGAGGGGGGUAGAAUUCCACGUGUAGCAGUGAAAUGCGUAGAGAUGUGGAGGAAUACCGAUGGCGAAGGCAGCCCCCUGGGCCAAUACUGACGCUCAUGCACGAAAAGCGUGGGGAGCAAAACAGGAUUAGAUACCCUGGUAGUCCACGCCCUAAAACGAUGUCAACUAGUUGUUGGGGAUUCAUUUCCUUAGUAACGUAGCUAACGCGUGAAGUUGACCGCCUGGGGAGUACGGUCGCAAGAUUAAAACUCAAAAUGAAUUGACGGGGUCAUAGCUGUUUUCCUAG
This 590-nucleotide ribosomal RNA is filed under the name uncultured bacterium. RNAcentral describes it as "partial 16S ribosomal RNA". It matches the Rfam family "Bacterial small subunit ribosomal RNA", at positions 356 to 941 of the family's 1533-position model. The record is from RNAcentral.